GAUGAACGCUGGCGGCGUGCCUAAUACAUGCAAGUCGAGCGAACGGACGAGGCGCUUGCUUCUCUGAUGUUAGCGGCGGACGGGUGUGUCACACGUGUAUCCCCUCCCUAUCAGACUGGGAUCACUUCGGGAAUCCGGCGCUAAUAGCGGAUGAUAUUUUGCACCGCAUUGUUCAAUGGUGAAAUACGGUCUUGCUGUCUCUUCUCGCUGGAUCUGCGCUGCAUUGGCUAGUUGGUACGGUAAAGGCUUACGACGGGAACGAGGCGUAGCCGACCUGAGAGGGUGGUCGGCCACACUGGAAGGGAGACACGGACCAGACGCCUACGGGAGGCAGCAGUCGGGAAUCUUCCGCAAUGGGGGAGAGCCUUACGGAGCAAGGCCGCGCGAGAGAUGAAGGUCUUCGGAUCGGAAAACUCUGUUACUAGGGAAGAACAGAUGUGUAAGGAACUGUGCACAGCGUGACGGUACCUAAUCAGAAAGCCACGGCUAACUACGUG
RNAcentral lists this ribosomal RNA (497 nucleotides) under uncultured bacterium. RNAcentral's name for it is "partial 16S ribosomal RNA". It matches the Rfam family "Bacterial small subunit ribosomal RNA", at positions 28 to 507 of the family's 1533-position model. The record is from RNAcentral.